RNAcentral lists this non-coding RNA (27 nucleotides) under Homo sapiens (human). The record is from RNAcentral. Lineage: Eukaryota; Metazoa; Chordata; Mammalia; Primates; Hominidae.
UGUCUUUGGGUAGGGAGCCUGUGUGUA